GGUGGCUUAGUGGUAGAGUACUUGCCUUGCAUGCAUGAGGCCUGGGUUCGAUUCCUCAGCACCA
RNAcentral lists this transfer RNA (64 nucleotides) under Dipodomys ordii (Ord's kangaroo rat). It matches the Rfam family "tRNA". Rfam says of the family: Transfer RNA (tRNA) molecules are approximately 80 nucleotides in length. Their secondary structure includes four short double-helical elements and three loops (D, anti-codon, and T loops). Lineage: Eukaryota; Metazoa; Chordata; Mammalia; Rodentia; Heteromyidae. The record is from Rfam by way of RNAcentral.